AAGUCGUAACAAGGUUUCCGUAGGUGAACCUGCGGAAGGAUCAUUAUAGUAUAUGGAAUACAUUUCUAUAAACCCACUCUGCGUAUCUUGUAACUGUUGCUUCCAUGGGACUUGGACCUAUGUCCACACCGGCUUUACCGCUGGUGAGCGCCCAUGGGAGGAGAAACAAAACUCUUCUUUGAACUGUAGUCAGUCUGAACAUGUUUUUAUAAACGUUAAAACUUUCAACAACGGAUCUCUUGGUUCUCGCAUCGAUGAAGAACGCAGCGAAAUGCGAUAAGUAGUGUGAAUUGCAGAAUUCAGUGAAUCAUCGAAUCUUUGAACGCACAUUGCGCCUUCUGGUAUUCCGGGAGGCAUGCCUGUUCGAGCGUCAUCAAAAACCUCAAUCUCUGAUUUAUCAUUGGUUGGUCUUGCACCGGAGGCGUAAGCUUCCUCUGCGAAAUUCAAUGGCGAAGAGCCACGCAACCAAAGCGUAGUAAUUUAUUCUCGUGAUGGAAACGUGAGCGCUUCUGCCGCAACCCCCCCAUUCUUAGUUUUUGACCUCGGAUCAGGUAGGGAUACCCGCUGAACUUAAGCAUAUCAAUAAGCGGAGGAAAAGAAACCAACAGGGAUUGCCUUAGUAACUGCGAGUGAAGCGGCAAAAGCUCAAAUUUGAAAUCUGGCGUCUUCGGCGUCCGAGUUGUAAUUUGGAGAGGCAUCUUCGGAAUGGUCACCGGUCCAAGUUCCUUGGAACAGGACGUCACAGAGGGUGAGAAUCCCGUGUCUGGCUGGUUGUACCAAUCCAUGUGAAGUGUCUUCGACGAGUCGAGUUGUUUGGGAAUGCAGCUCAAAAUGGGAGGUAAAUUUCUUCUAAAGCUAAAUAUUGGCGAGAGACCGAUAGCGCACAAGUAGAGUGAUCGAAAGAUGAAAAGCACUUUGAAAAGAGAGUUAAAAAGUACGUGAAAUUGUUGAAAGGGAAGCGCUUGAGACCAGACUCAAUUUGCGGCAAUCAGCAGUCCUUUUGGGCUGUGCACUUGCUGCUUUUUGGGCCAGCAUCGGUUUUGACCGCGUGAUAAAGACCUUGGGAAUGUGGCUCCUCUCGGGGAGUGUUAUAGCCCUUGGUGCAAUGACGCGUGUUGGGACCGAGGACCGCGCUUCGGCUAGGAUGCUGGCAUAAUGGUCUUCAGCGACC
This 1171-nucleotide ribosomal RNA is filed under the name uncultured fungus. RNAcentral's name for it is "eukaryotic LSU rRNA". The stretch from base 538 to 1171 matches the Rfam family "Eukaryotic large subunit ribosomal RNA", at positions 1 to 649 of the family's 3401-position model. Lineage: Eukaryota; Fungi. The record is from RNAcentral.